RNAcentral lists this ribosomal RNA (254 nucleotides) under uncultured bacterium. Its description in RNAcentral is "partial 16S ribosomal RNA". It matches the Rfam family "Bacterial small subunit ribosomal RNA", at positions 524 to 776 of the family's 1533-position model. The record is from RNAcentral.
UACGAAGGGGGCUAGCGUUGCUCGGAAUUACUGGGCGUAAAGCGCACGUAGGCGGCUUUCUAAGUCGGGGGUGAAAUCCUGGAGCUCAACUCCAGAACUGCCUUCGAUACUGGAAAGCUCGAGUCCGGGAGAGGUGAGUGGAACUGCGAGUGUAGAGGUGAAAUUCGUAGAUAUUCGCAAGAACACCAGUGGCGAAAGGCGGCUCACUGGCCCGGUACUGACGCUGAGGUGCGAAAGCGUGGGGAGCAAACAGG